This 303-nucleotide ribosomal RNA is filed under the name uncultured bacterium. RNAcentral describes it as "bacterial SSU rRNA". It matches the Rfam family "Bacterial small subunit ribosomal RNA", at positions 1072 to 1397 of the family's 1533-position model. The record is from RNAcentral.
AUGUUCGGUUAAGUCCGGCAACGAGCGCAACCCACAUCCUUAGUUGCCAGCAGUUCGGCUGGGCACUCUAGGGAAACUGCCCGUGAUAAGCGGGAGGAAGGUGUGGAUGACGUCAAGUCCUCAUGGCCCUUACGGGUUGGGCUACACACGUGCUACAAUGGCAACUACAGUGGGUUAAUCCCCAAAAGUUGUCUCAGUUCGGAUUGUCGUCUGCAACUCGACGGCAUGAAGUCGGAAUCGCUAGUAAUCGCGUAACAGCAUGACGCGGUGAAUACGUUCCCGGGCCUUGUACACACCGCCCGU